AGGACUGUCACCUCUUGUAGCCGACCCUUCUUUAUUAUUUGUGGAAAAUUCUCCAUGUCUACAUCUGGAAUUGCUCAAAGAUCAACUUCAGAGAGCCACCAUCAAAUUGAGAGAAAAAGACAGGCAGUGAAGAAAACAAAGGGCUACUGGAGAUUUGAGAACUAGGUAUGUAAAAGCAUGGGUGUGGUUCCUGGCAUGUGGAGCCGACUGGAAACAAAUAGAGAAGAAGCCUCUUAAGUGUUUGAGAGAAGUGUACUGCCAAAGAAACCACAAACCUGGCCUGAAGGGGCCUUUGACUGUAGAAGCUGAAAAUGGCCUUUGUGCUCAGAAGCUUAAGUGAAGAAGGAGCCUGAGGAGGCUGCUAAUACAGCCCUGAGACUUAUUUCCAGAUACAAUCAAAGAAGGCAAUGAGGAGAAAAAGAACUGCCAAAGGGUGGAUGUUGAAGACACACACAGGCAGUCUUUACCAUCUGAGCCAGCAGGAAUUGUCUUCUUUCUAAAAUAAAGAUUGGAGUGAACCACUUAAAUAAGAAACCAAAGCUGCUCACAAUAAAGACUACUUAAUACAGGCUAACCUAGGAGAGUGCUGAGAAGUCCUGUUUGCAAAUUCUGCUCCCCUGAAACUGACUCUUAUGCCCCCAGAAUUGUUCUGAAAUUGUGAGAGGAAGAAAACUGCUUAAAAUUCCCAGGUGGCGCUAUUGGUAAAGAACCCACCUGCCAAUGCAGGAGACAUAAAGAGAUGUCAGUUCAACCUUGGAUUGGGCACAUCCCCUGGAAAAGGGAAUGGCAACCCACGCCAGCAAUCUUGCCUGGAAAACCCCAUCGACAGAG
Dama dama (fallow deer) is the source of this 831-nucleotide long non-coding RNA. RefSeq lists it as uncharacterized. NCBI's taxonomy places the organism in Eukaryota, Metazoa, Chordata, Mammalia, Artiodactyla, Cervidae. The transcript is spliced from 5 exons. The record is from RefSeq and is a predicted model, not a curated record.